CCUACGGGAGGCAGCAGUGGGGAAUAUUGGACAAUGGGCGAAAGCCUGAUCCAGCAAUUCCGCGUGUGUGAAGAAGGCCUUCGGGUUGUAAAGCACUUUAGGUUGGGAAGAAAAAGCUCCGGUGAAUAUCCGGAGUGUUGACGGUACCAACAGAAUAAGCACCGGCUAACUCUGUGCCAGCAGCCGCGGUAAUACAGAGGGUGCAAGCGUUAAUCGGAUUUACUGGGCGUAAAGCGUGCGCAGGUGGUUUCGUAAGUCGGAUGUGAAAGCCCCGGGCUCAACCUGGGAACUGCGUUCGAUACUGCGAGACUAGAGUUUGGUAGAGGGUGGCGGAAUUCCCGGUGUAGCGGUGAAAUGCGUAGAUAUCGGGAGGAACAUCAAUGGCGAAGGCAGCCACCUGGGCCUGAACUGACACUGAGGCACGAAAGCGUGGGUAGCAAACAGGAUUAGAUACCCUGGUAGUCCACGCCGUAAACGAUGAGAACUUGACGUCGGCCCGUUUUACGAGUCGGUGUCGUAGCUAACGCGAUAAGUUCUCCGCCUGGGGGAGGACGGCCGCGAGUAGAACGUAACGUAAGAAGUUAGAGCGUUGAGACGNGCGACGGCGACGACGAGGGAGGAGG
This 623-nucleotide ribosomal RNA is filed under the name uncultured bacterium. RNAcentral describes it as "bacterial SSU rRNA". The stretch from base 1 to 542 matches the Rfam family "Bacterial small subunit ribosomal RNA", at positions 338 to 873 of the family's 1533-position model. The record is from RNAcentral.